AGCGAACGCUGGCGGCAGGCUUAACGCAUGCGAGUCGAGCGGGCAUCCUUGUGGUGUCGGCGGCAGACGGGUGAGUAACGCGUGGGAACGUGCCCUUCGGUUCGGAAUAACUCAGGGAAACUUGAGCUAAUACCGGAUACGUGCGAGAGCAGAAAGGUUUAUCUGCCGAAGGAUCGGCCCGCGUCUGAUUAGCUAGUUGGUGAGGUUACGGCUCACCAAGGCGACGAUCAGUAGCUGGUCUGAGAGGAUGAUCAGCCACACUGGGACUGAGACACGGCCCAGACUCCUACGGGAGGCAGCAGUGGGGAAUAUUGGACAAUGGGGGCAACCCUGAUCCAGCCAUGCCGCGUGAGUGAUGACGGCCUUAGGGUUGUAAAGCUCUUUUCUCCGGGACGAUAAUGACGGUACCGGAGGAAUAAGCCCCGGCUAACUUCGUG
RNAcentral lists this ribosomal RNA (437 nucleotides) under uncultured bacterium. RNAcentral's name for it is "partial 16S ribosomal RNA". It matches the Rfam family "Bacterial small subunit ribosomal RNA", at positions 29 to 507 of the family's 1533-position model. The record is from RNAcentral.